GGUCCCGUGGCCCAAUGGAUAAGGCGCUUGUCUACGGAACAAGCGAUUCCAGGUUCGAUCCCUGGCGGGAUCA
This 73-nucleotide transfer RNA is filed under the name Neoconidiobolus thromboides FSU 785. RNAcentral's name for it is "tRNA-Arg". It matches the Rfam family "tRNA". From Rfam's summary of the family: Transfer RNA (tRNA) molecules are approximately 80 nucleotides in length. Their secondary structure includes four short double-helical elements and three loops (D, anti-codon, and T loops). The record is from RNAcentral. Lineage: Eukaryota; Fungi; Entomophthoromycota; Entomophthoromycetes; Entomophthorales; Neoconidiobolaceae.